GUCUCUGAUGAUGUUAGAAUCAUAAAAACUUUCGUUCUUUUGAGAAUAUAUUCAUACGGAAUAAUUAUGGAGACCUAAACUGAAGAGAC
Molecule: small nucleolar RNA, 89 nt
Organism: Pistacia vera
Lineage: Eukaryota; Viridiplantae; Streptophyta; Magnoliopsida; Sapindales; Anacardiaceae
Product: small nucleolar RNA Z159/U59
Exons: 1
Source: RefSeq, a predicted model, not a curated record